UCCGAGUUGACCCCGGCAGUCUCCUAUGAGUCCCCACCAUUACGUGCUGGCAACAUAGAACGAGGGUUGCGCUCGUUGCGGGACUUAACCCAACAUCUCACGACACGAGCUGACGACAGCCAUGCAGCACCUGUGUGUAGGUCCCGUAAGGGAAGGAAUCCAUCUCUGGAAGCCGUCCUACCAUGUCAAACGCUGGUAAGGUUCUUCGCGUUGCCUCGAAUUAAACCACAUGUUCCACCGCUUGUGCGGGUCCCCGUCAAUUUCUUUGAGUUUUAGCCUUGCGGCCGUACUUCCCAGGCGGGGCACUUAAUGCGUUAGCUACGGCACGGAGCCCGUCGAUCGAGCCCCACACCUAGUGCCCAACGUUUACGGCGUGGACUAC
This 382-nucleotide unclassified non-coding RNA is filed under the name uncultured Actinomycetes bacterium. RNAcentral describes it as "uncultured actinobacterium contains 16S-23S intergenic spacer region". Lineage: Bacteria; Bacillati; Actinomycetota; Actinomycetes. The record is from RNAcentral.